UCUUGGCAAAGGCAAUAAAAAUGAUGCAUGCAGAUCGACUCCUGACUCUCACUGGCUGAGAGUUUUAAAUAGGAACACGUCUGAAUGGCAGUGAAUUUUUCAGUAAGCUUAUUGUUCACUUACACAAUCUGCUUGCCAGCAGCACCAAGACCCAUGUGUGGACAACCGGCCUCUCCACACGCUUGGCUGCUAACACCCUGGAGUGGGCGGUGGCGGCGUGUCCUCUUGAAUAAGUUUUCAGGCUAAUAUCUCAAACUUAGCACAGUUAAAUGUCAUAUUCUUGAGGGAUGAAUUGAGAACUUCCUGUCUAUGUGCAGCGUGAUAGUGCCACAUAAAGUCUCUGAUAAUGUAAAAACACUUUCCCAGACAAGUUCUCCUUCAGCUUUUGUUCGGAGCUUAAUUAUGGCAACUAAUAUCAUUCUGUACACAUAGCGGAGGUUUAUUUUGCAUAGUGAUUUUUUCACAGUCGUUUUAAUG
This 477-nucleotide long non-coding RNA is filed under the name Bos taurus (domestic cattle). Its description in RNAcentral is "long non-coding RNA NONBTAT016387". The record is from RNAcentral. Lineage: Eukaryota; Metazoa; Chordata; Mammalia; Artiodactyla; Bovidae.